GUCAGUUUAGCCUAGUGGUUGGGGUGCUGUAUGUGUGAGGCAGAGGUGGUGGGUUCGAACCCCCACUGUCG
This 71-nucleotide transfer RNA is filed under the name Hordeum vulgare. Its description in RNAcentral is "tRNA-OTHER". Lineage: Eukaryota; Viridiplantae; Streptophyta; Magnoliopsida; Poales; Poaceae. The record is from RNAcentral.